Molecule: ribosomal RNA, 331 nt
Filed under: uncultured eukaryote
Lineage: Eukaryota
Description: partial 18S ribosomal RNA
Rfam family: Eukaryotic small subunit ribosomal RNA
Source: RNAcentral
CCCUUAGAUGUUCUGGGCCGCACGCGCGCUACACUGACGAAGUCAGCGAGCAUGUCCUACGCCGACAGGUGCGGGGAAUCUUGUCAAACUUCGUCGUGAUGGGGAUCGAUUAUUGAAAUUCUUGAUCAUCAACGAGGAAUUCCUAGUAAGCGCAAGUCAGCAGCUUGCGUUGAUUACGUCCCUGCCCUUUGUACACACCGCCCGUCGCUACUACCGAUUGAAUGGUUUAGUGAGAUCUUCGGAUUGGCGCCACUGCGGCUCAGCAAUGGGCUCGGUGGAUGCCGAAAAGUUGAUCAAACUUGAUCAUUUAGAGGAAGUAAAAGUCGUAACA